ACGGGCCACCGCACAGCUCGCUUCUGCUUAGGUUUCGUCCACCCUCGUCAUGAGCUGAUGAGCGAGUCGGGACCGACCGACCGUGUCUCGCCACGCUCGCUUGCGCCGGUUUCGGUACUCAGCGGGUGGGCCAGCCAGCCACCGAGGUUUCGCCAACGGCUGAUCUGAUCAUGACGGCAGCGCACAUAUUUUGCCCGGACGGUCACGGGGACGGACGUGUUCGGUGAUGCUGUCGCUGGGUUUGGGUUUGUCCGUGCUCCUUAUCAGUCGGUCAGCUCGCUCGCUAGUUCAGUACCACCGGCUGGUGGUCAGGAGGAGGGGGCGGAGGGGCGCCGGCGCCAAGUGGUAGCCGAUGCGCGACGGCGGGCCGUUCCGCCCGUCGCAGUAGGUCGGCGGGGACCUCCGGGAGCGCCGCCUCGCGCCGUACGCGGAGCAGCGGCAGCUGCGGAGCGAGGGCGACCGGCUGGUCCCGGGGAAGCUGGAGUAGUAGGUGUUCGAGAAGCUGGCCGGGACCGCGCGCGUCGACCUCCGGAAGAGGCGCGAGGUGGGGAGGCAGGGGCAGCAGCUGCGGGGGCGGCGGCAGCUGGCGGACGAGCUGGCGAAGUGGUACGAGCUGCAGCAGGGGCCCGAGCGGCGGCCGGACCUGAAGGGCGACAGGCAGGGGCGCGUCCAGUGGCACUCGCUGCGGCGGCGCGAGCGGCGCCUGCUGGGGAGGGUGCCGGAGGCGAAGGGCGAGUAGCGGUUCGGCGACCGGCAGCUGCCGUCGCGCCCCAGGGUGCUGGACACGGAGCACAUGGCGCGGCUCCCGGAGGCCCCGGAGGUGUGCGGGCAGCAGGAGGUCCUCAAGCAGUUGGUGCCGCCGCACGAGAAGUUCCAGAUGCACCACCCGCCGGCGCGGCACACGCAGGCCGCGUCGUCGGACGGCCUGCACGGGCGCCGCGCGGAGCGCCUGGGGCUGCGGCUGCGGAGGCAGGGGAAGCGGUUGUAGAGGUCGGCGGGGCGCGACCUGUUCCCCCUCCUGAGCUACGGCGGGCGGCGCAAGCAGCUGGUCCAGCGCGCGCCCGAGGCGGUUCGCGACCCCAACGUGGAGGAGUUGAAGCUGUACAAGCGCCGCUGCCUCGACCUGCUGCCGCCGGCCGUCUCUAUGAAGGAACAGCUGUAGUUGAUGAAGGGCCCCAAGCGGUUCUACGGCCCGAUACUCUGACGAGAGUGCCUAAAGAAGCGGCUCUACUAAGUCCAGCCGUGUCCGCGGCGGUCGAAGCUCUUCGAGCUUAGACACGGGACGUUACCGUAUCUAGAGCUCACUUCACUUGCUCCACACGGGCUUCUGGGGCAUGACGGCUAUUAUUUUUAAUUCUUUUACGACGUGUGAAGCGGCGCAUAUUCUAUAUACAUUAUCAUGACAGUUCCUUGACUAAUUCUGUAGCUACUAACUACGAUGAUAGAUACUUCCAAAGUUUAGAUUCCAUGAAGUUCACGUUGCUUAUAAGGUGGAGCGUCCUUUUCUUCUUAUAAGGAGGCCUAAACGGUAAAGAGGCUCUUUAUCAAUUUAGAAUUAGCUGAGCUAUUGGCUACCUAAUUGCGCUCGGUUUCUAAGGACGACGAUAGCCCUCAAGACGAAGAGAACAAAAAUCGCCGACACACUGCCGCUCGCCAUACCACGCUGCACGCUCCUGUAGGGUCCAAGAAGCAGACCGUAAACAUGCAUCAUCCUCCGACCGACUCGAAAGACACACCAUCCGGUAACAUAGGUAAAGAAACAGUGAGAAAAACGCUCCCGUAAAGCAACAGUGAAAUCAAUAUCUGUUCAGUUGACUUAAAACUUAAACCCGGUCAGCUAAAAAAACAAAUCUUAUUUUUUGUGAGAUAAUCGAAUCUUACAAGAGUACUUAUAUUUGUUGUAGUC
This 1906-nucleotide ribosomal RNA is filed under the name Triticum aestivum (bread wheat). RNAcentral's name for it is "partial small subunit ribosomal RNA". Lineage: Eukaryota; Viridiplantae; Streptophyta; Magnoliopsida; Poales; Poaceae. The record is from RNAcentral.